Sphaeramia orbicularis (orbiculate cardinalfish) is the source of this 226-nucleotide long non-coding RNA. RefSeq lists it as uncharacterized. The record is from RefSeq and is a predicted model, not a curated record. NCBI's taxonomy places the organism in Eukaryota, Metazoa, Chordata, Actinopteri, Kurtiformes, Apogonidae. The transcript has 3 exons.
AGAGGUCACCAACCCUGGUCCUCGAGGGCUACUAUCCUGUAUGUUUUAGAUGCAUCCCUCUUCCAGCACACCUGACGGUCGUUAUCAAGCUUCUGCAUAGCUUGAUGAUUGGCUUAUCAUUUCAGUCAGGUCUGUUGGAAGAGGGAUACAUCUAAAACAUGCAGGAUAGUAGCCCUCGAGGACCAGGGUUGGUGACCCCUGAUUCACUGGGUCACAUGAACAUGUC